This 216-nucleotide ribosomal RNA is filed under the name uncultured bacterium. RNAcentral's name for it is "partial 16S ribosomal RNA". It matches the Rfam family "Bacterial small subunit ribosomal RNA", at positions 524 to 738 of the family's 1533-position model. The record is from RNAcentral.
UACGUAGGGUGCAAGCGUUAUCCGGAAUUAUUGGGCGUAAAGAGCUCGUAGGCGGUUUGUCGCGUCUGCUGUGAAAACCUAAGGCUCAACCUUGGGCUUGCAGUGGGUACGGGCAGACUAGAGUGCGGUAGGGGUGACUGGAAUUCCUGGUGUAGCGGUGGAAUGCGCAGAUAUCAGGAGGAACACCGAUGGCGAAAGGCAGGUCACUGGGCCGCA